CCUACGGGUGGCAGCAGUGAGGAAUAUUGGUCAAUGGGCGAGAGCCUGAACCAGCCAAGUCGCGUGAGGGAGUACUGCCCUAUGGGUUGUAAACCUCUUUUGUCGGGGAGCAAAAGCCGGACGUGUCCGGCUGUGAGAGUACCCGAAGAAAAAGCAUCGGCUAACUCCGUGCCAGCAGCCGCGGUAAUACGGAGGAUGCGAGCGUUAUCCGGAUUUAUUGGGUUUAAAGGGUGCGCAGGCGGAUUUUUAAGUCAGCGGUAAAAUCGUGGGGCUCAACCCCAUCCAGCCGUUGAAACUGGGGAUCUAGAGUGUGCGAGAGGUAUGCGGAAUGCGUGGUGUAGCGGUGAAAUGCGUAGAUAUCACGCAGAACCCCGAUUGCGAAGGCAGCAUACCGGUGCACAACUGACGCUCAGGCACGAAAGCGUGGGUAUCGAACAGGAUUAGAUACCCUAGUAGUC
This 458-nucleotide ribosomal RNA is filed under the name uncultured bacterium. RNAcentral's name for it is "partial 16S ribosomal RNA". It matches the Rfam family "Bacterial small subunit ribosomal RNA", at positions 338 to 795 of the family's 1533-position model. The record is from RNAcentral.